RNAcentral lists this ribosomal RNA (253 nucleotides) under uncultured bacterium. RNAcentral's name for it is "partial 16S ribosomal RNA". It matches the Rfam family "Bacterial small subunit ribosomal RNA", at positions 524 to 776 of the family's 1533-position model. The record is from RNAcentral.
UACGGAGGGGGCGAGCGUUAUUCGGAAUUAUUGGGCGUAAAGGGCGCGUAGGCGGCUUGACAAGUCAAAGGUGAAAGCCCCCGGCUCAACUGGGGAGGGUCAUUCGAUACUGAUCGACUCGAAGGCAGGAGAGGGUAGUGGAAUUCCCGGUGUAGUGGCGAAAUGCGUAGAUAUCGGGAGGAACACCAGUGGCGAAGGCGACUACCUGGCCUGUUCUUGACGCUGAGGCGCGAAAGCUAGGGGAGCAAACGGG